Molecule: ribosomal RNA, 736 nt
Filed under: uncultured bacterium
Lineage: Bacteria
Description: bacterial SSU rRNA
Rfam family: Bacterial small subunit ribosomal RNA
Source: RNAcentral
AGUGAACGCUGGCGGCGUGCUUAACACAUGCAAGUCGAACGAGAACGGAUCUAGCUUGCUAGAUUGUCAGCUAAGUGGCGCACGGGUGAGUAAUGUAUAGAUAAUAUGCCUUCUACUAAGGAAUAACAAUUAGAAAUGAUUGCUAAUGCCUUAUAUGCCUUUUAAUCAUAAGAUUGUAAAGGGAAAGAUUUAUUGGUAGAAGAUUAGUCUGUAUAGUAUCAGUUAGUUGGUAAGGUAAUGGCUUACCAAGACAAUGACGCUUAACUGGUUUGAGAGGAUGAUCAGUCACACUGGAACUGAGACACGGUCCAGACUCCUACGGGAGGCAGCAGUGGGGAAUAUUGCACAAUGGACGAAAGUCUGAUGCAGCAACGCCGCGUGGAGGAUGACACAUUUCGGUGCGUAAACUCCUUUUAUAUAGGAAGAUAAUGACGGUACUAUAUGAAUAAGCACCGGCUAACUCCGUGCCAGCAGCCGCGGUAAUACGGAGGGUGCAAGCGUUACUCGGAAUCACUGGGCGUAAAGAGCGUGUAGGCGGAUUAAUAAGUCAGAAGUGAAAUCCUAUAGCUUAACUAUAGAACUGCUUUUGAAACUGUUUAUCUAGAAUGUGGGAGAGGUAGAUGGAAUUUCUGGUGUAGGGGUAAAAUCCGUAGAGAUCAGAAGGAAUACCGAUUGCGAAGGCGAUCUACUGGAACAAUAUUGACGCUGAGACGCGAAAGCGUGGGGAGCAAACAGG